UGAAACAUUUUUGAAUAUUGAAAUAUAAAAAAAACAUAAAAACUGGUGAAGCAAUAACUUUAAAUGUUGUUUCUCUUUAUAGAGCAACUCGGUUUGUGCUAUAGUUUUACUGGGCUAAACUUUAUUUUAAUGUGAAUAAAAUAAUAUAUAUUUUUAUUGCAAUUAAUGUCACCUGUGUCAUAGUGAUUCGUCGAACUCAUGUUUCACGCGGCAAUUGCGUUGACGUGUCUCGGAGCCAACUCAACAAGCUUUGAGGUCGACAAAACAGGGACGUCCCACAGGAAAUAAGAAGACGUGUCUGAUGGUGUGGUCUUAAGCAGCUUCGCGUAACACCUUUUAUUAUUAUCGUAUUAUAUUGUCUCGGAAAUAUUAUCCCUUCGAGUCUCUCCGAGGUUGUAUCGUGACGAAUUAUGUUGAUGAAAUUCUGGUGCAGCUUUUCUCCCCGAUAUUGGUUGUGCUGUGAAAAUGUGCUAAGAAAAAUAGAGAGAAUUCUGUUUCAAUUGAGUCUUGAGCGGUAAAUAGCAUCUCAUAUAUUCCCUAUGCAUUUCUGACACCCGUGUGUGAUGGUAUAAUUAAUUUAUACAACUAACUGCAUAUCAUUAAUUAAUUAUAGCCGCUUCCAUGGUAUGGGCCGUAAACUCUGUCUGUCUCCGAUGACGGUGUAAUAAACGUAAACAUUAUCACAAAUUUCAAAUAUGGCAUAUACCUAAACCUUUUCAAGCACCAGUUAUAUACCUCUUCACAGAAAACAAAUUGACGUCUACAGGCCGGCUUGAUUUUAUUUGAGGUAUUUCACACGAAACUCUUAAGCCACAGUGAUCGAAUAGAUGUGAUGAAUGUCAUUAUGGCUGCACAUGGUUGUUUAAUUCCCAAUAUAUAUAAAAUCUAUAAACCUCCAAUUAAUAUUAUACACUUAUUGCUAUAAUUUCAAGUAAGACUUCAAUAUGUAGUAGCUCUGUAAAAACUCAGGUUUUUUUUUAAUUACAUUUAUUAAAGUAAUUUAAUAAGUUAGAUUACAGAUUAGUAAAUCUACUCCGGACAUUAAUCUGUAAAAACAAGGAAACUAUAUUUAAACUAUAUUUUUAUUUUCAAUUAGCUCACAAUACUGAAUAUAAAUUAAUUUCAUAAGUUCAUAUUAUUUUAUAUCUGUUA
Bombyx mori (domestic silkworm) is the source of this 1152-nucleotide long non-coding RNA. RefSeq lists it as uncharacterized. The transcript is spliced from 2 exons. The record is from RefSeq and is a predicted model, not a curated record. NCBI's taxonomy places the organism in Eukaryota, Metazoa, Arthropoda, Insecta, Lepidoptera, Bombycidae.